UACGGAGGAUGCGAGCGUUAUCCGGAUUUAUUGGGUUUAAAGGGUGCGUAGGCGGGUUAUCAAGUCAGCGGUAAAAUCGUGGAGCUCAACUCCAUCCAGCCGUUGAAACGGAUGAUCUUGAGUGGGCGAGAAGUAUGCGGAAUGCGUGGUGUAGCGGUGAAAUGCAUAGAUAUCACGCAGAACUCCGAUUACGAAGGCAGCAUACCGGCGCCCGACUGACGCUGAAGCACGAAAGCGUGGGUAUCGAACAGG
Molecule: ribosomal RNA, 252 nt
Filed under: uncultured bacterium
Lineage: Bacteria
Description: partial 16S ribosomal RNA
Rfam family: Bacterial small subunit ribosomal RNA
Source: RNAcentral